CUAGUGUAUUGAGAGUGAUAAUAAUCCUCAGUUGUGUGUAUGUGUGAAUAUGAAUGAGAACGUGUAUGAGAACGUACCUGUUUGUGAAGACUUAGUUGAUAGGCUAUACUCUCUUUGCCCAAUUUACCGUGCCACCCACUACCUCUGACACAGCCCCCGUGAUCUGAUGGGUCCUGCCGACUGCCUGCAGUCUACUCACUACCUUUGGUCACUGUUUAUGCCGCCGGCCGGCUAUAAUCUCAUCCACAUUAAUGCAUGGCAGGUGUCUUAGUCAGCUGUCAUGCUUUUUCAUCAUUACAAGUCAAAGUAAUAGAUAUUAAAUGAUCCAAUGGGUUAGUCCAAUGAACCGACCCGGUCUUAUAGGUUUAAAUAGAAAUAAUAUGGAGACUAGGCCCAGU
Molecule: long non-coding RNA, 398 nt
Filed under: Panax ginseng (ginseng)
Lineage: Eukaryota; Viridiplantae; Streptophyta; Magnoliopsida; Apiales; Araliaceae
Description: long non-coding RNA (PGIN_LNC002428)
Source: RNAcentral